CACGUAGGCACCAAGCGUUGUCCGGAUUUAUUGGGCGUAAAGAGCUCGUAGGCGGUUCAGUAAGUCGGGUGUGAAAACUCUGGGCUCAACCCAGAGACGCCACCCGAUACUGCUGUGACUUGAGUACGGUAGGGGAGUGGGGAAUUCCUGGUGUAGCGGUGAAAUGCGCAGAUAUCGGGAGGAACACCGGUGGCGAAGGCGGUUCUCUGGGAAUUACCUGACGCUGAGGAGCGAAAGCAUGGGGAGCGAACAGG
This 254-nucleotide ribosomal RNA is filed under the name uncultured bacterium. RNAcentral describes it as "partial 16S ribosomal RNA". It matches the Rfam family "Bacterial small subunit ribosomal RNA", at positions 524 to 776 of the family's 1533-position model. The record is from RNAcentral.